RNAcentral lists this ribosomal RNA (465 nucleotides) under Vreelandella stevensii. RNAcentral describes it as "partial 16S ribosomal RNA". It matches the Rfam family "Bacterial small subunit ribosomal RNA", at positions 338 to 795 of the family's 1533-position model. The record is from RNAcentral. Lineage: Bacteria; Pseudomonadati; Pseudomonadota; Gammaproteobacteria; Oceanospirillales; Halomonadaceae.
CCUACGGGGGGCUGCAGUGGGGAAUAUUGGACAAUGGGCGAAAGCCUGAUCCAGCCAUGCCGCGUGUGUGAAGAAGGCCUUCGGGUUGUAAAGCACUUUCAGUGGGGAAGAAAGCCUUGGGGCUAAUACCCUCGAGGAAGGACAUCACCCACAGAAGAAGCACCGGCUAACUCCGUGCCAGCAGCCGCGGUAAUACGGAGGGUGCGAGCGUUAAUCGGAAUUACUGGGCGUAAAGCGCGCGUAGGCGGUCUGAUAAGCCGGUUGUGAAAGCCCCGGGCUCAACCUGGGAACGGCAUCCGGAACUGUCAGGCUAGAGUGCAGGAGAGGAAGGUAGAAUUCCCGGUGUAGCGGUGAAAUGCGUAGAGAUCGGGAGGAAUACCAGUGGCGAAGGCGGCCUUCUGGACUGACACUGACGCUGAGGUGCGAAAGCGUGGGAAGCAAACAGGAUUAGAUACCCUAGUAGUC